RNAcentral lists this ribosomal RNA (232 nucleotides) under Glomeromycetes sp. RNAcentral's name for it is "partial small subunit ribosomal RNA". The stretch from base 85 to 232 matches the Rfam family "Eukaryotic small subunit ribosomal RNA", at positions 738 to 887 of the family's 1831-position model. Lineage: Eukaryota; Fungi; Glomeromycota; Glomeromycetes. The record is from RNAcentral.
CGGCCACCUAUCUGCCUCCGGUAUGUACUAUCCGGUUGGGCCUUACCUCCUGGUGAGCCCGCAUGUCGUUUACUCGGUGUGCGGGGGAACCAGGAAUUUUACUUUGAAAAAAUUAGAGUGUUCAAAGCAGGCCUAUGCCCGAAUACAUUAGCAUGGAAUAAUAGAAUAGGACGUGCGGUUCUAUUUUGUUGGUUUCUAGGAUCGCCGUAAUGAUUAAUAGGGAUAGUUGGGA